AAUAAAAGAAUGACAAAUCAGAUUUUUUCUCUUGAUUUUUAGCUUUUUCCUCCUGCAAAAUUCAAAUCCAACUAAAAAUGCUAAAAAUCAGGAGGAAAAAUCUGAUUUGUCGUUCUCCUAUU
Molecule: non-coding RNA, 122 nt
Organism: Gossypium raimondii (Peruvian cotton)
Lineage: Eukaryota; Viridiplantae; Streptophyta; Magnoliopsida; Malvales; Malvaceae
Source: Rfam